AAGUCGUAACAAGGUUUCCGUAGGUGAACCUGCGGAAGGAUCAUUAACACGUUCCAAAACGUAUCAACCAUGCGGUUAAGUGCAAACUUAUUCCCUAACUGAGGGAGCUGUACAAAUGUCUUUAGUGAUGGGCUCGAGCCCAAAGCUCCUUUUUUUAGGCUUUUUCCCCCCUUUUUCCAUCACUUCCAACUACCAUUUUCACCCCUCUGAAACUUAUGACUAAAUCUUUCGAACGAAGAAAUUUGUUUGGAAUUGUAUAUCUAACACUGUACAACUCUUAGCAAUGGAUAUCUUGGUUCUC
RNAcentral lists this unclassified non-coding RNA (301 nucleotides) under fungal sp. Its description in RNAcentral is "partial internal transcribed spacer region". The stretch from base 1 to 46 matches the Rfam family "Eukaryotic small subunit ribosomal RNA", at positions 1786 to 1831 of the family's 1831-position model. The record is from RNAcentral. Lineage: Eukaryota; Fungi.